GGAAGGGCAACAACGCGGGCCAGCAACAAAUUGAGAAGGAACAACACACAUUUACAGCACGUCUAGUACCAGUAGAGGAGGGGACAUCACUUAAAAAUACACGCAACCCUAGGGGGAUAUUCCUAACAGCCGCCACGGAGAAUAAUGCUUUGGCUUUAAAAGAAUGUAGCUGCAGGUGAAGAGAGGAGUUUUUAGGGAGAUUGAAAUUGGAAGGAGAGAAGUGAAGAGACAGUGACGUAGAAUGGAGGGCGAUGUUAUUUAAGCUGUGGUGUCAUGUGUUACCAAUAAGGAGUAUUGGUAAAUCUUGAAGAAAAUUGUUUUGAUGCUGCUACAAGAAGUUUUAUUUGAAGAGAACAUUAGAAUUAUUUAAAAGCAAUUUGUAGAAAUUGAAUGUAGUAGGAAAGUCUUAAAUAAAUUGUAAACCUUGUAUUUUCUACUGGAACAAUCAAUUAUGGACAAGCAAAAAUCGAUUAUCACUUGUAUUUUCUAUUAG
This 493-nucleotide long non-coding RNA is filed under the name Vigna radiata. RNAcentral describes it as "long non-coding RNA (VRAD_LNC000832)". The record is from RNAcentral. Lineage: Eukaryota; Viridiplantae; Streptophyta; Magnoliopsida; Fabales; Fabaceae.